Molecule: ribosomal RNA, 232 nt
Filed under: uncultured bacterium
Lineage: Bacteria
Description: partial 16S ribosomal RNA
Rfam family: Bacterial small subunit ribosomal RNA
Source: RNAcentral
CGGACGGGUGAGUAACGCGUAGGAACCUACCUGGUAGCGGGGGACAACCUGGUGAAAACCAGGCUAAUACCGCAUACGCCCUACGGGGGAAAGCAGGGGAUCUUCGGACCUUGCACUAUCAGAUGGGCCUGCGUCGGAUUAGCUAGUUGGUGAGGUAAUGGCUCACCAAGGCGACGAUCCGUAGCUGGUUUGAGAGAAUGAUCAGCCACACUGGGACUGAGACACGGCCCAG